GAUGAAGAACGUAGUGAAAUGCGAUAAGUAAUGUGAAUUGCAGAAUUCAGUGAAUCAUCGAAUCUUUGAACGCACAUUGCGCCCCCCAGUAUUCUGGCGGGCAUGCCUGUUCGAGCGUCAUUUCAACCAUCAAGCCCUGCUUGUGUUGGGGUCCUGCGGCUGCCCGCAGGCCCUGAAAACCAGUGGCGGGCUCACUAGUCACACCGAGCGCAGUAGCACAUCUCGCUCAGGGCGUGCGGCGGGCUCCAGCCGUUAAAGCACCCACCUUUCGCAAGGUUGACCUCGGAUCAGGUAGGAAUACCCGCUGAACUUAAGCAUAUCAAUAAGCGGAGGA
This 334-nucleotide unclassified non-coding RNA is filed under the name soil metagenome. RNAcentral describes it as "partial contains 5.8S ribosomal RNA, internal transcribed spacer 2, and large subunit ribosomal RNA". The stretch from base 1 to 120 matches the Rfam family "5.8S ribosomal RNA", at positions 35 to 154 of the family's 154-position model. The record is from RNAcentral.